RNAcentral lists this ribosomal RNA (475 nucleotides) under uncultured bacterium. Its description in RNAcentral is "SSU rRNA". It matches the Rfam family "Bacterial small subunit ribosomal RNA", at positions 26 to 521 of the family's 1533-position model. The record is from RNAcentral.
AGGAUGAACGCUGGCGGCGUGCCUAACACAUGCAAGUCGAACGUCCUGUCUCGCAAGAGGCAGGGAGUGGCGGACGGGUGAGUACCACGUGGGUCAUCUACCGUGAGGUGAGGAAUACCGGCGAGAAAUCGCCGACAAGACCGCAUAGCCUCGGUGCAAGUCGAGGAAAGCUCUCUCGAGAGAGGGAGCGCCACACGAGGAGCCUGCGCCCGAUUAGCUAGCUGGUGGAGUAAUGGUUCACCAGGGCGACGAUCGGUAGCUGGUCUGAGAGGACGAUCAGCCACACUGGGAUUGAGAACGGCCCAGACUCCUACGGGGGCAGCAGUGAGGAAUUUUCGUCAAUGGGGGCAACCCUGAACGAGCAACGCCGCGUGCAGGAAGAAGGUUUCGGAUCGUAAACUGCUUUUCGUCGGGGAAGAGAACGGACGGUACCCGAGGAAUCAGCCCGGCUAACGUACGCGCCAGCAGCCGCGGU